AUACGGAGGGGACUAGCGUUGUUCGGAAUUACUGGGCGUAAAGAGUACGUAGGCGGUCUAUCAAGUUGGGUGUGAAAGCCCGGGGCUCAACCCCGGAACUGCACUCAAAACUGAUAAACUAGAGAUCGGAAGAGGUAAGUGGAAUUCCCAGUGUAGAGGUGAAAUUCGUAGAUAUUGGGAAGAACACCAGUGGCGAAGGCGGCUUACUGGUCCGAGACUGACGCUGAGGUACGAAAGCGUGGGGAGCAAACAGGAUUAGAUACCCCAGUAGUCC
This 274-nucleotide ribosomal RNA is filed under the name uncultured bacterium. Its description in RNAcentral is "partial 16S ribosomal RNA". It matches the Rfam family "Bacterial small subunit ribosomal RNA", at positions 523 to 796 of the family's 1533-position model. The record is from RNAcentral.